Molecule: ribosomal RNA, 468 nt
Filed under: uncultured bacterium
Lineage: Bacteria
Description: partial 16S ribosomal RNA
Rfam family: Bacterial small subunit ribosomal RNA
Source: RNAcentral
GACGAACGCUGGCGGCGUGCUUAACACAUGCAAGUCGAACGGAAAGGCCCUGCUUUUGUGGGGUGCUCGAGUGGCGAACGGGUGAGUAACACGUGAGUAACCUGCCCUUGACUUUGUGAUAACUUCAGGAAACUGGGGCUAAUACCGGAUAGGAGCUCCUGCUGCAUGUUGGGGGUUGGAAAGUUUCGGCGGUUGGGGAUGGACUCGCGGCUUAUCAGCUUGUUGGUGGGGUAGUGGCUUACCAAGGCUUUGACGGGUAGCCGGCCUGAGAGGGUGACCGGCCACAUUGGGACUGAGAGACGGCCCAGACUCCUACGGGAGGCAGCAGGGGGGAAUAUUGCACAGUGGGCGGAAGCCUGAUGCAGCAACGCCGCGUGCGGGAUGACGGCCUUCGAGUUGUAAACCGCUUUCGCCUGUGACGAAGCGUGAGUGACGGUAAUGGGCAAAGAAGCACCGGCUAACUACGUG